CGUAGAACGGGAUAACAGUGCGUCAUAAGGUCGUUGGGAUAAUAAAGUGAGAAUGGUGACCGGUAAGGGGAUCUUAACCCUUGACUUGGUGUUGUCAGCACCACGCUCUCCCAAGUGAGCCACGGGCCGGCCCAUCAUUAGUUCUUUUGAACUUUACCAGGCAUUAAUAUACACUUUAAAAAAUGGUGAUGGGUACAGUGAAAUGAAGAAGCAGCUUAUGAACAGAGAACAGGAAAGCAUUUUGUUA
This is a long non-coding RNA of Cynocephalus volans (Philippine flying lemur), 247 nucleotides long. RefSeq lists it as uncharacterized. The record is from RefSeq and is a predicted model, not a curated record. The transcript is spliced from 3 exons. Lineage: Eukaryota; Metazoa; Chordata; Mammalia; Dermoptera; Cynocephalidae.